GACGAACGCUGGCGGCGUGCUUAACACAUGCAAGUCGAACGGAAAGGCCCUGCUUUUGUGGGGUGCUCGAGUGGCGAACGGGUGAGUAACACGUGAGUAACCUGCCCUUGACUUUGGGAUAACUUCAGGAAACUGGGGCUAAUACCGGAUAGGAGCUCCUGCUGCAUGGUGGGGGUUGGAAAGUUUCGGCGGUUGGGGAUGGACUCGCGGCUUAUCAGCUUGUUGGUGGGGUAGUGGCUUACCAAGGCUUUGACGGGUAGCCGGCCUGAGAGGGUGACCGGCAACAUUGGGACUGAGAUCCGGCCCAGGCCCCGAGGGGGGGGAGGGGGGGGGAAUAUGGCAAAAUGGGGGGAAGCCGGAGGCAGCAACCCCGGGUGGGGGAAGAGGGCUUUCGGGUUGGAAACCGCUUUCGCCUGUGACGAAGGGUGGGGGAGGGGAAUGGGUAAAGAAGCACCGGAAAACUGCGG
This 467-nucleotide ribosomal RNA is filed under the name uncultured bacterium. RNAcentral describes it as "partial 16S ribosomal RNA". It matches the Rfam family "Bacterial small subunit ribosomal RNA", at positions 28 to 506 of the family's 1533-position model. The record is from RNAcentral.